RNAcentral lists this long non-coding RNA (21376 nucleotides) under Phoenix dactylifera (date palm). RNAcentral's name for it is "long non-coding RNA (PDAC_LNC000992)". Lineage: Eukaryota; Viridiplantae; Streptophyta; Magnoliopsida; Arecales; Arecaceae. The record is from RNAcentral.
AUCUGGUGAAGUUAUUAAUUAUCAGGCCUUCACAAACUUGAAAGGCAUUUAUACAGUGGCAGAGACCAUGCCUGAGAGCGAUCGGUGGGUGUCAUGCUUAGCAAGGCCCAUCAGCAGCUACCAUGAGCAGUGCACUCGGAAGGGAGAUGCCCACUCCGGGGUCAAGUUCACUUACAAUUUGCCAUCUGGAAACUCUCACACUGUCAGGCCAUUCCUUUACAAACCUGUUUCCGUGCCAAUGUAUUGCAGCUGAAAGAUGUACUGUAUGUUGGGAAACAUACCAGUAAAUAUAUAGUACAAACUCAUGUAUGUUGGUUGAGUGGAGGAAGAAGGAAUCCUAAAGCCUAUAGAAUAUCAAGUUGGUUGUGCAUACUUGAUGUAACAAAAUGACUGUAUUUGCUAUACCGGUUAUCUGUGUUCAUUAGCUCCAAUUUCUGCUGUCUGUGUUUCUUUUGUCCCCAGCUAGUGCAAGAUCAAGAUACUCGCGGGGAAGUUGAUGCAUGGAGACCGGCAUGCUGUUCUGUCUUAAUGCUGCUACUGAUCUUGUGGCAUGCGAAAAUGAGUUUCUUUCCCUGAAUGCAGGAUUGCGAGGGAAUCAUGGAACUCGAGAUGAUAAGUCUGACAAGCAGCUAAUGCUGUAGCAUGCUCUCUGGCAUGUCUGAAACUCAUGGCAUAUCAGAUGUCGAGGUCGUCUUUUAUGAUAAGAAGGCAGUGCUUAUGCUGACUCCUGAUGGUCAUGACUUCAUGACUACUUGGAACUUGUCAGGGCUUCACAACUCUAUUGGCGCUCACAUUUAUGAGAUGCUUUUGCCAGGUCUCUUAUGCCCUGCUCCUGAGUACCCAGCAAUUUCUUGCUUUGCACAAACCCCUUUUUUUUUCCUGUUUCUUAUCCUUCUGUGCCAUGAGCCAAAUGAAGACUUUUUAGCCCUAUCUGGAUGCUGGAAGAUCUUACUGGUGUGAUAGGAUUCCCUGCAAGUUUAUGUGCAUAGCUUUCGGUCAGAAGUUAUACUGGAAGCCAAGCCCUUCAAAGAGAGCCUGAGGGGACCAGCUUGUUGGAACGGACUCACCAAAAGAGUCCGAGUCUUCUGCGCAAGAGAAGGAGAAGUCCAAUUCUAGAAAUUCAUAGCUGCCAUAAUAGUUGUAAAUUUGAAAUUUGAAUUUUAAAUUCGUUCAAAUUUGGACUCAUCAGAAGAAGAAUUCUUAGCUGUUAUAACAGCUGCCAAAUUUAGACCCACCAGAAGACGUGUAUACGAGCCAACCAUCUGGCUUCACACAUCUAGACUUUCCUUACUAUGUUUGUAAGCUUCAUAAAAGCUUGUAUGGACUACGUCAAGUUCUCCAGGCCUAAUUCUAAUGCUUGACAGAUAAGCUGUAGAGUUAUGGCUUCAUUGGCUUCAAAGCGGACAGUUCUUUGUACACAUUGCAUCGAGGUCAGCUUCAUAUCUAUUUCCUCAUUUAUGUUGAUGACAUAAUUAUCAUUGAAUUCGAUGCUCAUGAAGUCACCAAAAUCAUUAACUUGCUCAGCCAAGAUUUUUCUGUCAAAGACCUUGGCAACUUAAGUUUUUUUCUUGGAGUGGAAGCCUUACGAAUACCCUCUAGUAUCUUCCUCACUCAAUGAAAGUACAUCGUUGAUCUUUUACAAAAGGUCUCUCUGGAUAAAGUUAAACCUUGUAGCACCCUGAUGUCUACUUCCUGUCAGUUAUCAAAAUUUGAAGGUCAAGAAUUUGAUGAUCCUCAUCUCUAUCGAAGUACUGUUGGCGCCUUAUACUAUUUGGGCUUUACUAGACCAGACAUUGCAUUCGCAGUCCACAAAGUCAGCAAAUAUAUGCAUCAACCCCGGGUAUCUCACUGGCAAGCUGUUAAAAGAAUACUAAGGUAUCUCAAAAUACAAUUUCCUAUGGUCUCCAGUUAUUCUUUCAUUCGCGUCACACUCUGCAUAGUUACACUGACGCUAAUUGGGCUGGGGACUGUGAUGACAGAAGAAAUGUUGGUGCUUAGUGUUUUUCAUAGUGCAAGUUUAGUUAGUUGGAGUUGCAAACAACAACAAACAGUUGCGAGAAGUAGCAUUGAAUCAUAAUACAAAUCCCUGUCCAACACCGCUAUAGAGCUUCAAUGGUUGCAGUCCAUACUUAAUGAUCUUCAUUUGCCCUUAUAAGAAACUCCUACAUUGUGGUGUGACAACAUAGAUGCUACCUACCUCUCCUCCAAUCUAGUCUUCUAUGCAAGAACGAAGCAUAUUGAAAUCAGUUUUCAUACCGUGUGAGAGCAGGUGAUGAAGAAAUAACUGAGAGUGUCAUUUUAUCGUCAAAAGAUCAGAUAGCCGAUCUACUUACAAAAUCUCUAUCAGUAGUGAGGUUCACGCAUCUUCGAGACAAUCUUCAUGUGCAAGAACUGCACAUUCGAAUGCGGGGGCGUGUUGGAACGGACUCACCAGAAGAGUCUGAGUCUUCCGGGCAAGUGAAGGAGAAGCCCAAUUCCAGAAAUUCAUAGCUGCCAUAAUAGUUGUAAAUCUGAAUUUCAAAUUCGUUCAAAUCUGAAUGUCAAAUUCAUUCAAAUAGUCAGCUUUGCUCGAAAGAAAGGUUAAUCAACGGUUAGCACUUAUUUUCAUUCCCCAACAUUCUCCUCGUCCUCCAAUAGAAUUUGAAGAAAAACAUAGCAGAGAGGUGAAAUUUUAGAUCGUUAGGUCUUUACACACGAACAGAACACAGGUUGUUGCUUCAUUUUUCUCUAGGAAGCAACUACUUUGCUGUGUAAAACUGGGAAAAAAGGGCUGUGAUCAUUUCAUUUGUAAUACAAAAGUUUCUUAUGGUGUUAAGAAUUUGAAGUCAUGGUUCCUGUUCGUUAUUGUUCAGUACCUUGUCUCCAUGUCAGAUCUCCAGUUUCUCCAUUUGAAUGAGGGAUAGCGUGCAGGCUGAUGGCUUUUUUCUCUCUUUCUUUACAUGCUUAGGCAAGUUCUCAAGCUUUUCACUGGAAUAUAAAACCAUGGAAAAGAACGUGGGAUUGGUUAGAUCCGCGCCAUCUAUUGGACUUAAUGGAGUGGAUUCUUCCCCAAACUAUUGUUAUAUAAAUCCCAGUGGCGAUAGAAUUGUCUUUUAGUCUCUUAAUUUGUUGCUCCAUAUAGGCUUCAAGAUGGGACCGGUAAGCUUCAAAAUUAACGUUUUUCCUUUGUUUUUAACGAGCUGAAUGCGUCAGGGGCCGGCUUUUUGUUGCAUAAAUUAUUCACGCACACCUCGAUUCCGCUGGCUGCAUGUUCUUUCUUCCAAGUUCCGGCAAGCACUAAGUCAAACAUACGGUGGCCCGGCUCCACUCACACAGCCGGUAGAAAAAGCCCAACGCAAUUAAAAUAUUUUGACCACAGAAGCUUCCGCAGCUCCAGCUUGCUUUUGUUUUUUGUUUUUUUGUUUUUUUAUUUUUGUUGCUGAAACGAAUAUUUCAUACAUCACGGAUACGAAUAUACCUAAUAGAAUCGGCAAACAAAAGGUUCCGAAAUGCAACAGACAUCUCACCCUCUCCAACCCACAGGGUGCCUCCUAAGUAGCUCGUUACAUAUGCCGCAACCUAAUCCGCCGCUCUGUUAGCCUCAUGAUAUACAUGCAUAGCCUGAAAUAUAAUGCCCUUCCUCACCAUCAACCAAAUAUCACGGUGCAGGAGAUGAACAUCUCCAUUUCUACUUGUGUCCCGUUGGACCUAGCCGAUCACCGUGGCCGAAUCACGCUCCAAGAGGAUGGAGGUUGCCUGAAGCACGUGCCGCACAUAAUGCAAUCCCAUCCAAGCCGUCUGUAACACUGUUCUGGAAAUCGAGGUAUCGAAGAUCUGACAUCCCCCGCUGCGACCACACUCGAACUCGGGCCCUUGAUGACAAACCCGACCCCUCCUAUCCUACCUCCAUCCAAAAAGAACCAUCAAAAUUGACCUUGAGGAAACUCGGAGGUGGAGGCUUCCAGGUGAAGAAAACCGUAUGAGGAGUUGCCGAAGCAAUGUGGGGGCACCAGGUAUCCCGAGCUGUCAAUAGUCUGUAGUCUAACCCUACCCGAAGAAUCUCUGUUGUCUGUGCCUGAGUCCGCUCCAUCACGAAACGUGAGGAUGGACUAAGCCCGCCAGAUAUCUGAACGUUUCUGGCCAUCCAUACUUGAUAAGCUAUGCAAGCCGCCCUAAUGGCCAGCUUUAUUCUCUAACUUGAUUCCCAAGACAGAGCGUCCGAUAUACGUCCAAAACCGUGGGCAGUUUCUCUUUGGACUUGCGGACAAGUCAAAGACGACGUUUGAGACUUCAUGGCCGAUAAAAUGGCAUUACCUACUGCUACUUCUUUACCCCUCGCACCUCCCAAGUUUGACCAAAAGAUAAACAAGAGAAGAGAGAACCAUGGGAGAGUUCCUCCCUAUUCUUCCGAUAGCUUCUGUACUCGCGGUCCUGCUGUUCUGUGGGCUGAAGGCGUUCUACUCCCUAUGGUGGAAGCCCAAAGCUCUGGAGAAGCAACUAAGGGAGCAAGGCGUCCGAGGCAAUCCUUACAGGAUCCUCUAUGGGGACACGAAAGAUGAGAUACGAGCCGCGAAGGAAGCAUGGUCCAAGCCUAUCGCUCUCACCCAUCAUAUUGCGCCACGGGUGGCACCGUUCGCUUAUCAGACAGUUCAGAAAUACGGUAAGAAAACUGCUGCUUGAUUUGGAUACCUUCAUGAUAUACCGGCAUCACUUGAAGAUUUGAUGCUUCUUCUUGGGUAAUUUGGGAGCACAGGGAAGACAUCUCUGGUGUGGUUUGGAACAACUCCGAGGGUGAUUCUGUGGGACCCACAGACGAUAAGGGAGGUGCUGUUGGAUAAGCUGGGCCAGUUCAAGAAGCCACCGUUUAACCCUCUGAUAAGGCUUCUAGCCAGGGGGGUCUCCAGUCUCGAAGGAGAGGAGUGGGCAAAGCGACGGAGGGUCAUCACCCCGGCCUUUCACCUUGAAAAAUUAAAGGUUUUGGAAUCCUACUUCCUUUGCCUCCUAGUAAACAAGAGACCUAAAUUGAUCCGAUCGGAAAAAAAAAAAAAGAAUUUCCUUCAACUCAAUCUCUCUUAAAAAAAACUAGAGGAAGAUGGAAGAAUUACGAAAGUAGAGUGUAAUCUCCUUUUCUUUCGUUGAUGUUCUUAAAAACUAACGUACAUAGCCGUUACACAAUUUAGGUUGAAUUCAUCUUUCUAGUUUUGUUGGGAUUUUUUUUCUAUCUGCUUUCGUCAGAUUUCUCUUCCUAAUCCUAGUAGGACUUUUUUUCUUAAAAUAGAUAUUACUAGUAGAAAUCUUUAAGAAAAAGCUAAAAUUUUUGAGGAGGUAGUCUCGACUUCUAAAUCAACUUUGCCUUUUAUUGCUCUACAUAAUUCUUCUUGAAUAGAGAGAUACAUUUAAUCAAAAUCUUAUCUGAAAAGAAAACUUUCGGUUUGACCGGCCCAUUUUGGGCUCCAAACGAUAGAAUUUGGACUUGAUCGCUAUGGGCCGCCCCCUAAAGGGCAGACAUCAUGUUGUAUAUCUCGAAAAACUGUCUGAUUUUAAAAAAAAAUCAUCUCAAUCGAACGUCGUACAACCAAGUUAUGGCCUCCAGAAGUUUGGCCUGCAACUCAGCUUUCCGAUGUGGCGAAUCUUGCUCCUAAACCUUGUCUAGCCAUGUUCGUAGUACCAAAAUGUUUCAUAUCAAUCUAGGGAUCCUCUUGGAUCAUAAAUAUAGCAUAAAUGUAACUUAACUUUCUAAUGCUAUUAAUCGCUAGACUAAGCUAAGUAACCAUGCAUGGGAUGGGAUAUAAUACAAUUACCAUUCACCACUAGGAGUCUCGGAAGAAAAGCUUUUAUCUUAACAUCAUUCGCAGUGUUGUCCUAAAACAAAGGCUUUCUUGACUUCUUUUUUGUUGACAAUUUGCUAAUCAAAUUGCCAAUAAUAUAGAUGGGACCAACUAAGAGUGGUAGAAAAAGUUUGUUAUUUAGAGGAAAAUUCAUAGGAAAUUGCAAAGUGGUGGUGCUUGUUCAAGCCAUCAACUCCAACAAUGUUCUUAUAUUCAUUAUACUUGCUGACAUUAUAGAUGAAUGCAACAAACUUUAGUCAGAACUCUUUUUCUGUUGAUUGAAUGCAUCCCCUUUUAUAACAUUAAUAUUAAACGAGACUUAAUAACUAAACUUGGAUAACAAAAGAUCUGCGGUGGAAAAAUCCAGGCAACAGUGCUGUGCGUGUGCGUUUGUGUCUGUUAAAUAGAAUGUAGCGAGUAGUUCUUGCGUGACAUUUGUUGGUUACAGGGAAUGGUGCCUGCCUUUCUGAUCAGCUGUGUUGAUUUAAUAAAAAGAUGGCAGAACUUAACUAGCACUGAAGGAUCUUGUGAGAUAGACAUUUGGCCUGAGUUUCAGAAUCUGACAGGAGACGUGAUCUCUCGAACAGCCUUUGGAAGCAGCUAUGAGGAAGGAAAGAAAAUAUUUGAACUACAAAAGGAGCAAGCUGUCCUGGUCAUAGAAGCUGCCCGAGUCCCCUAUAUACCAGGAUUCAGGUGAAAUUAUUAUUAUUAUUAUGAUUGUAUGAUGCACGUGUAUUCUCUGUUAAUCAAUAAGAUAGAUCUAAACACAUAAGAGAUCUAAUAAACAUAAAUCCCAAGACCUUCAACUAUCAUGCUUUUCACAAAUAUAAAUAUAAGGCUUAAGUAAUUUAGAAGACAUACCGGAAUCCAUGAGAGUAAGUCUUCUUCUUCUUGUUGAAAUCUUUAGAGUAGACACUAUGAUUUCUCUCACUUAGCCCUCAAUUCAUAUACACCAAAAUGAUGGAGAUAGUGUUCAUUUAUAGGGUAGAGAGAGGACCACAUUUCCAACCUUCUACAUACCAUAAGACUCUCCACCGUCCAUCAAAGUACGAGUUUCAAGAGGAAAUUAACUUCUCACAAAUUUGACCAUUAACACACUUUAUGGGAAAUUGAAAGAGCCAAGUAACUUAGGAGUCAAAUAAACCAAAAGUCAUUCAACAUUUUGGUCAUGUGGGACAUAAAAUAUCUUACACUCUCUUCCAUAUUAGAUGGUCUGGUUUACGUACUUAAUUCAGAUUCUUUUAGCAUUCAUUACGUACUCGGUGCAGAUUCCUUCCUACUGCAAAGAAUAAGAGGAGAAUGCACAUAGACAGAGAGAUCAAGACCAUGCUAAGAAAUAUGAUUGGAAAGAAGUUGAAUUCCAUGAAAAUGGGAGGAUCUCUCGGCUCCGACUUGCUUGACUUGUUGCUGCAGUUCGGUAAUAAUAGUGAUCAGAAGAACUAUAGUAUUACUAUCGAUGAGGUGAUAGAAGAGUGCAAGCUCUUCUACUUUGCUGGUCAAGAGACAACCUCAGUGUGGCUAACAUGGACGAUGAUUCUCCUGUCCAUUCAUCCAAAUUGGCAACAAAGAGCAAGGGAAGAAGUUCUGAAAAUCUGUGGGAAGAAUACACCUGAUUUUGAAUCACUAGGACACUUUAAAAUCGUGAGCAUCAGCGCUUCACUGUUGCUAUCCAGAUAUCUGUUUCACUUCUAAUAGGCUAAAGUCACACUUCUUUCUGUCUAUUUACACUUGCUAUCUUCAAUUACAGGUAACCAUGAUACUUUAUGAAGUUCUAAGAUUGUAUCCACCCCUGACCUCUCUCUUUCGACGUGCAAUUAAGGAAACAAAGCUAGGAGAGUUCUCUGUCCCUGCUGGCACCGAUAUCUGGCUACCCACAAUCCUCAUCCACCAUGAUCGAGAAUUUUGGGGCGAAGAUGCCAAUGAGUUCAAUCCAGAGAGAUUUUCAGAAGGGGUUUCAAAGGCAUCAAAAGUUCAAAAUGCAUUCUUUCCUUUUGGAUGGGGACCAAGGAUAUGUUUGGGCCAGAGUUUCGCAAUAAUAGAAGCAAAGAUGGCUUUGGCUACUAUUCUCCAACACUUUUCCUUGGAGCUGUCACCUUCCUAUGCUCAUGCUCCUUAUACAGUUCUUACUCUUCAGCCACAAUUUGGAGCUCAUAUCAUCCUUCAUCAACUUUUAUACUAGUAAAGGUUGUUAAAAUUUCAGUGCAAGUGCUCUGUUUCAAUUAUUUUCUUGGUAUUUGCAGUAAUACUACUCUUACCAUAUGAUCUUAUAUAACACCAACAUAUAUGUAAAGGUAAAGGUGUGUCCUUGAAAUGGAUGGAUUCAAUCUUUCUUAUUGGAGAGUGUUUGCAAUCCCUAUUUGUAUUGGAUGGAUGAUAGGAGCUCUAGUGCUGAUACUCUAUUUCUGGUUCUGCAUUAAACGAAAGCUAAUCUUUAUAACUAACAUCUCCAUCACAGCUUUCUCAUUUUAUAAAAUGCAUACCUGCAAGAAUUGACUAUUUGUAGGCUCAUGAAGAGGAAAAUGAUGUUAAGAACCUCUCAGUUUCCAUCAUACUAGAGCAAAAGUCCUAUUCCAUAACCUUGAAGCCGAGUGGUUUAAGUGGGCAAUGCCUGGAGCAAGAAGCAUGGUUUGCUGUCAUGUCUACCAGAUUAUUUGAGUAAACGGCAGUUGUAUCUGGAUAGAUGAAGAUAUUGCCUUCUGUUCUUUUGACCGGAAAAACUAUAACAACCCAGGACCUCACCCAAAAUGGCUAGCCGGAAGAUAUUAUUUGGGUUCCUUGACCUUGUAUAAGUAUCGAAGAUCUACCCAGCGAAUAACUGAUAUGGAACUAAACACACGCUCGCACGGGUCCUUCCAUAUUCCCUCCGUUCAAGCCUUAACGUCCUCGUCAAACUAAGGGUUCAAAUCCAUUCAAAUCUAAUCACAAACACCACAAUCGGUUCAUAGUUAGCCCCAAUAGAUCCGUGCUGCAGUGUCCCCUAGUCCACAUAGAUUAUGAGCUGGGUCUGCUCUGAUACCAUAUGUNNNNNNNNNNNNNNNNNNNNNNNNNNNNNNNNNNNNNNNNNNNNNNNNNNNNNNNNNNNNNNNNNNNNNNNNNNNNNNNNNNNNNNNNNNNNNNNNNNNNNNNNNNNNNNNNNNNNNNNNNNNNNNNNNNNNNNNNNNNNNNNNNNNNNNNNNNNNNNNNNNNNNNNNNNNNNNNNNNNNNNNNNNNNNNNNNNNNNNNNNNNNNNNNNNNNNNNCACGAUUGACCCGUGGUCAGCCCCAAUGGAUCCGUACUGCAGUAUCACCUAGUCCACAUAGGUUAUGGGUCAGGUCCGCUCCGAUACCAUUUGUAACAACCCAGGACCUCAUCCAAAAUGGCUAGCCGGAAGGUAUUAUUUGGGUUCCUUGAUCCUGUAUAAAUACCCAAGAUCUACCUAGCGAAUAACUGAUGUAGGACUAAACACACGCCCGCACAGGUCCUCACAAAAAUGGAAUUAAAAGUAAUUCUAUACUUGGAACUUUGUUUAUGGAUUCUACUUUUCGCUCUUUAUUGUUGUAAUGUCUGUAUCAGUGCUCCAUUGUUAAUGAGGUGAAAUUUUAGAUCGUUAGGUCUUUACACACGAACAGAGCACAGGUGGUUGCUUCAUGUUUCUCUAGGAAGCAACUAGUUGCUGUGUAAAACAGGGAAAAAAGGGCUGUGAUCAUUUCAUUUGUAAUAGCAAAUUUUCUUAUGGUGCUAAGAAUUUGAAGUCAUGGUUCCUAUUCGUUAUUGAUCAGUACCUUGUCUCCAUGUCAGAUCUCCAGUUUCUCCAUUUAAAUGAGGGAUAGCGUGCAGGCUGAUGGCUUUUUUCUCUCUAUCUUUACAUGCUUAGGAAAGUUCUCAAGCUUUUCACUGGAAUUUAAAACCAUGGAAAAGAACGUGGGAUUUGUUAGAUCUGCGCCAUCUAUUGAGCUUAAUGGAGUCUUUUAAUCUCUUUCUUGCUCCGUAUAGGCUUCAAGAUGGGCCCAGUAAGCUUCAUAAUUAACCUCUUUUUUUUUUAAUGAGCUGAAUGCGUCCUGGGCCGGCUUUUUGUUGCAUAAAUUAUUCACGCACACCUCGAUUCCGCUGGCUGCAUGUUCUUUCUUCCAAGUUCGGACAAGCACAAAGUCAACUCCACUCACACAGCCAGUAGAAGCAGCCCAACGCCAUUAAAAUAUUUUAACCACAGAAGCUUCCGCAGCUCCAGCUUUGUUCUCUAACUUGAUUCCCAAGGCAGAGCACUUUCUUUGGACUUGCGGACAAGUCAAAGACGAAGUUUGAUACUUCAUGGCCGAUAAAAUGGCAUUACCUACUGCUACUUCCUUACCCCUCGCAACUUCCAAGUUCCAAGUUUCAACUAAAGAUAAACAAGAGAAGAGAGAACCAUGGGAGAGUUCCUCCCUCUUCUUCCGUUAGCUUCUGUACUCGCUGUCCUGCUGUUCUGUGGGCUGAAGGCGUUCUACUCCCUAUGGUGGAAGCCCAAAGCUCUGGAGAAGCAACUAAGGGAGCAAGGCGUCCGAGGCAAUCCUUACAGGAUCCUCUAUGGGGACAUGAAAGAUGAGAUGCAAGCCGUAAAGGAAGCAUGGUCCAAGCCCAUCGCUCUCACCCAUCAGAUUGUGCCACGAGUCGCGCCAUUCGCUUAUCAGACAGUUCAGAAAUACGGUAAGAAAACUGCCGCUUGAUUUGGAUACCGUCAUGAUAUUCCGGCAUCACUUCAAGAUUUGAUGCUUCUUCUUGGGUAAUUUGGGAGCACAGGGAAGACAUCUCUGGUGUGGAUUGGAACAACUCCGAGGGUGAUUCUGUGGGACCCACAGACGAUGAGGGAGGUGCUGUUGGAUAAGCUGGGCCAGUUCCAGAAACCACCAUUUAACCCUCUCGUAAGGCUUCUAGCCAGGGGGGUCGCCAGUCUCGAAGGCGAGGAGUGGGCUAAGCGAAGGAGGGUCAUCACCCCGGCCUUUCACCUUGAAAAAUUGAAGGUUUUGAAAUCCUACUUCCUUUGCCUCAUAGUAAAGAAGAGACCUAAAUUAAUCCGGUCGGGGAAAAAAAAAAGAUUUCUUUCAACUUCGAAUCUCUCACAAAAAAGUUAAAAGAAGAUAGAAAAAUUGUGAAAGUAGAGUUUAAAUCUACUUUUCUUUCAUUGGUGAUCUUAAAAACUAAGCUACAUAGCUGUUAUUUAUAACAGUAAGGUCCACCCUUACAUAAUUUAGGUUGAAUUCGUCUUCCUAAUUCUAGUGGGAUUCUAUUUCUGUUCGCUCAUUCUAAUCUUAGUAGGACUCUCUUUUCUAAAAUAGAUACCACUAGUAGAAAUCUUCUAGAAAAAGCUAAAAUUCUUGAGAAGGUAGAUGUCGAUUUCUACAUCAACUCUGCCUUUUGUCGCUCAAUAUAAUUCUUUUCUGAUAGAGAGAUACAUUCGGUCAAAAUCUUACCUCAAAAGAAAACUUUCGGUUUGAUCGAUCCAUUUCAGGCCCAAACAAUAGAAUUUGGCCUCGAUCGCUAAGGGUUGCCCCCUAAAGGGCGGGGCAUCACAUUGUAUAUCUUGAAAAACUAACUAAUUAAAAAAAAAAUUAUCUCAAUUGAACGUCAUAUGACCAAGUUAUGGCCUUCAAAAAUUUGGUCUGUGACUCAGCUUCCUGAUGUGGCGGAUCUUGCUCCUGAAUCCUGUCUAGCCCUAUUCAUAGUAGCCAAAAUGGUUCGUAUCGAUCUAGGAAUCCUCUUGGAUCAUAAAUAUAGCAUAAAUAUAACUUAUUUCUAAUGCUAUUAAUCAUCCAACUAAGCCAACUAAUCAUGUAUGGGAUGGGAUAUAAUACAAUUACCAUUCACCACUAGGAGUCUCAGAAGAAAAGCUUUUAUCUUAACAUCAUUCGCAGUGUUGUCCUAAAACGAAGGCUUUCUUGACUUCUUUGAUGUUGAUUAGUUGCUAAUCAAAUUGCAAAUAAUAUAGAUGGUAGGAGUGGUAGAAAAAGUCCGUUUUUUAUAGUGAAAUGUAGAAGAUACCUCAUAAUGACUUGUAGAUUAGAGGAAAAGUCAUAGGAAAUUGCAAAGUGUUAGUGCUUGUUCAAGCCAUCAUCUCCAACAAUGUUCUUAUAUUCAAUAUACUUGUUGACAUUAUAGAUGAAUGCAACAAACUUUAAGCCUGAAAGUCAGAACUUUUUUUUCUGUUGAUUGAAUGCAUCCCCUUUUAUAACAUUAAUAUUAAACGAGACCUAAUAACUAAGCUUGGAUAACAAUAGAUCUGCAGUGGAAAAAUCCACGCAACAGUGCUGUGCGUGCGUGUUUGUGUCUGUUAAAUAGAACGUAGCGGGUCGUUCUUACGUGACAUUUGUUGGUUACAGGGAAUGGUGCCUGCCUUUCUGAUCAGCUGUGUUGAUUUAAUAAAAAGAUGGCAGAACUUAACUAGCGCUGAGGGAUCUUGUGAGAUAGACGUUUGGCCUGAGUUUCAGAAUCUGACAGGAGACGUGAUCUCUCGAACAGCCUUUGGAAGCAGCUAUGAGGAAGGAACGAAAAUAUUUGAACUGCAAAAGGAGCAAGCUGUCCUGGUCAUAGAAGCUGCCCGAGUCCCCUAUAUACCAGGAUUCAGGUGAAAUUAUUAUUAUUAUUAUUAUUAUGAUUGUAUGAUGCACAUCUGUUCUCUUCAUAUUAGAUAGUGUGGUUUAGGUACUUAAUUCAGAUUCUUUUAGCAUUCAUUACGCAUUUGGUGCAGAUUCCUCCCUACUGCAAAGAAUAAGAGGAGAAUGCACAUAGACAGAGAGAUCAAGACCAUGCUAAGAAAUAUGAUCGAAAAGAAGUUGAAUUCCAUGAAAAUGGGAGGAUCUCUCGGCACCGACUUGCUUGGCUUGUUGCUGCAGUUCAGUAACAAUAAUGAUCAGAAGAACUAUAGUAUUACGAUCGAUGAGGUGAUAGAAGAGUGCAAGCUCUUCUACUUUGCUGGUCAAGAGACAACCUCAGUGUGGCUAACAUGGACGAUGAUUCUCCUGUCCUUUCAUCCAAAUUGGCAACAAAGAGCGAGGGAAGAAGUUCUGAAAAUCUGUGGGAAGAAUACACCUGAUUUUGAGUCAGUAGGACACUUGAAAAUUGUGAGCAUCAGCCCUUCAUUGUUGCUAUCCAGAUAUCUGUUGUCAUGCCCUCGCCUGCACGGAGCAGGUGAGGCACCCAGUGCCCACAUGGGGGCCACAUGAGGGGGGAACACAGGGCUCCCCUGCCCGAAACGCGUCUGCAGGAUUUGGAGACACCCGCCUCAUAUGCCUAGGCUCUAGAACGAGUCUUUCCGAUGUGGGACUAUUGGGCCUCAUACCCUUCCCAUUAUCGGACAAGAGCCGUCCUCGCCUCUGAUACCAAAUGUCAUGCCCCCGCCUGCGCGGGGCACGUGAGGCACCUAGUGCUCACGUGGGGGCCACAUGAGGGGGGAACACAGGGCUCCUCUGCCAGAUAUUGUCCGGUUCCGGAGCUUCACGCAAACGUCACACCUGUUUCACUUCUAAUAGGCUAGAGUCACACUUCUUUCUGUCUAUUUACACUUGCUAACUUCAAUUACAGGUAACCAUGAUACUUUAUGAGGUUUUGAGAUUGUAUCCACCCGCAACCUCUCUCUUUCGACGUGCAAUCAAGGAAACAAAGCUAGGAGAUUUCUCUGUCCCUGCUGGCACCGAUAUCUGGCUACCCACAAUCCUCAUCCACCAUGAUCGAGAAUUUUGGGGCGAAGAUGCCAAUGAGUUCAAUCCAGAGAGAUUUUCAGAAGGGAUUGCAAAGGCAUCAAAAGUUCAAAAUGCAUUCUUUCCUUUUGGAUGGGGACCAAGGAUAUGUUUGGGCCAGAGUUUUGCAACGAUAGAAGCAAAGAUGGCUUUGGCUACUAUUCUCCAACACUUUUCCUUUGAGCUGUCACCUUCCUAUGCUCAUGCUCCUUAUACCGUUAUUACUCUUCAGCCACAAUUUGGAGCUCAUAUCAUCCUUCAUCAACUUUUAUACUAGUAAAGGUUGUUAAAACUUCAGUACAAGUGCUAUGUUUCAAUUAUUUUCUUGGUAUUUGCAGUAAUAUUCUUACUAUAUGAUCUUAUCUAACACCAACAUAUAAUGGUGCUUAAUCUUCAUCAUUAAGGUAAAGGUGUGUCCUUGAAAUGGAUGGACUCAAUCUUUCUUAUUGGAGAGUGUAUGCAAUACCUAUUUGUAUUGAAUGGAUGAUAGGAGCUCUAGUGCUGAGACUCUAUUUCUGGUUCUGCAUUAAAUGAAAGCUAAUCUUUAUAAUUAACAUCUCCAUCACAGCUUUCUCAUUUUAUAAAAUACAUACCUGCAAGAAUUGACUACUUGUAGGCUCAUGAAGAGGAAAAUGAUGUUAAGAACCUCUCAGUUUCCGUCAUACAAGAGCAAAAGUCCUAUUCCAUAACCUUAAAACCUUGACUGGUUUAAGUGGGCAAUGCCUGGAGCAAGAAGCAUGGUUUGCUGUCAUGUCUACCAGAUUAUUUGAGUAAACGGCAGUUGUAUCUGGAUAGAUGAAGAUACUGCCUUCUGUUCUUCGAUUAGAGAAACGGAGUUAAAAGUAAUUCUAUACUUAAAACGUUGUUUCUGGAUUCUACUUUUCGCGCUUUAUUGUUGUAAUGUAUAUAUCAGUGCUUCAUUGUUAAUGAGGUCUUAAGUCGUAAGCUUUUUAGUUUUUAUGUGAAGCACUGUUUAAACUGAGGCAAUGUUUUCCUCUGCAUGGCCAGUCAAAUGCUCCCGAAUUCCUUUAAAUCUCUGCCACUCAUGUAAGGCUUCCUCAAAAUCUAAAUAGUCUCUUGGUAUUGAGUAUAUGGCUCUCAACUGCUUGUGUAUAACAUGUUAUGGGCACAGUUCCUGAAAAAAUUCCAUUUCACUCUGUUCCCGAAAGAUUUAAUAGUAGGCAGAAUUGAGCAAUUGGUUGUUGGGACUGUGCACUCCUGCUCAUACAUCUAAUGGAACUGGUUUAGCCUUUGAAGUUCCACUAGUUUUUUUUUUUUCCAGUUCAAUAGAGAGAACUAACAUGGAAAUAUCAAGACUGUAAUCAUGAUUAAGGUUUUAGUUUUUUUUUUCUCAUAGAAGAAAAUUGUCAUGGCCAGGCUUGGUCAGACUCUUUAAGAAAAGAAUGGGCGUCCACCAGAGCAUUUCAUUCCGUUGUCUCAACACUGUAUUAUCUUUGUGGAGGAUUUCAACCCCCCAAACCCCCCUGCCGGGAAAAAAAAUUGCAUAGAAGCUAGCAAGAGAUGCUACAAACGGCCACACAAGAGCAAUAGCAGUACCUUAGCCUGGGAUUGGAGCGUGGGCUAAAUCCCUUUCCAGAUGCUUCUUAUAGCUUUUUUGGAGCAUCGCUAAAAGUUUGGGAUUUUCUACAAUAUUUGAAGCCUAUAGUUGAUGUUUCCUGCUUACUUUUUAUAUUCUCUGCUUUCGUCCAAGUUGUCUUGGAAAAGAGUUUUUGUUACAAACAAGCCACACCUGAAGAAGAAGAAGUUAUGCCUCAAUAAAAUAGUAUACUCCAAUCGAAACUUUAGUUCACUCUCAUGCAUCCGAAUCUUUCAUAGUUUACAUAUAGCUAUCUGUUAUUUUUUCUGUGGACAAUAUCCAUGAAAAUAUCUCUAUUUUUUCAGUCCUAUAUUAAAUUAAUGAAAGAGGUGCCAUGUGGGUUUAUUAACCUAUAUCAGUCCUCCUAAUUGCUGAAGUUUUUAGAUUGUUAGGCUGAGACAAGUAGUAUCAAAGCCAGAUCCAUUGCGCGUCAUAACUUUUAUUAACCAUGUAGAUGCUUCACUGAGGGAAACCAGGAUUGAGGAGGAUCUGAUAGGAUUAAGUAAGAUCUGCGCUAUGAGUGGACCCCUCUCUCUUAAGCAGGAGUUAAACUGUAAUGAGGGCAUCAUAGUCCCACAUUGAUGAAUAAAAAAGGUACCACAUAAGCUUAUUAGCAUGCGCCAGUUUUUCUCCCAAUAACUCCAGCUUUUUAGCUGUUGUAACCUGAUAGAUUGUAUCUUAUUCCAGGCUGCUGUGCUUAUGAGAGCAAGAUAUGCAUUCAUAAAAGAAGGGAGUAACCGGAAAAUAAAACAUACCACAGGGAAGUAACUAGGAAGAAGGAUAUGGUAAUGACAAUUCUAAAAUAUAAGUAAAUAAAUAAAUAACUUGGCACGAGGACACAUCACCAUAAGAUUACUUGUUUUGUAGUAGCAGAGACUUCUUUCUCUUGGUGAACAAGCAUUCAAUCAGAAACGACUCACGCAGCAUCACAAAUUAGAAACAAACUUAUCUGUGUGACAUCAAGCUUAGGAGGUGAUUGGUAGACCCACCGCCACCUUCGGAACUCAGCCUCUCAAGUUCGCCCAGAGUUCUUUCCCCCACAAGCUAGCGUCCUGUCCCACGCUUCAUAGCAUUUAUUGUCGGCAAACCAUCCGCCGUGAAGUGAGCGAAGUCGUCACGCUCAUGGCCCCAAAAGUCAGAGCAGAAGGUUGCAAUAGCCUCGGCUUCACGUACCUGUUCCCAGUUUAACUUGAUCCCAAAGACACAACUUCUAAUUUCUUUUACUAAAAUGAGCACAAAGUCUUCUUUGCCAAAGAAGAGACUAGGGAGUAUAGACUUUGUGGCAUUUAAGUAGCCAUCGCCCUCUAUCUUUAUCCCUCAAUAACAAAAGUGAAUAAGAGAGAACAUAAUGGAAGACUUCCUUCCUCUUCUUCUGAUAGCUUCUCCGCUCGCUGUGUUACUGUACCGUGGGCCGAGAGCGUUCUACUCCCUGUGGUGGAAACCCAAAGCCUUGGAGAAACAACUAAGGCUGCAAGGCAUCAGAGGCAGCGCAUACAACCUCCUUCAUGGGGACAGUAAGGCGGAGAUACAGGCAGCAAAGGAAGCAUGGUCCAAGCCCAUCAAUCUGACCCACAAGAUCGUGACGCGUGUCGUUCCAUUCGCUUAUCAGACGGUGCAGAGAUAUGGUACUAUGCCAUCAUGAUUUGAGCUUCAUUUACAAGAUACUAGUGUUUGCUUCUUUGAUCAUUUAAUGUUAUGCUCGUGAGUUCUCACAGGGAAGACUUCGUUUAUAUGGAAUGGAGAAACUCCGAGGGUGAUCGUAUGCGACCCGGAGAUGGUGAGGGAGGUGCUGCUGGACAAGCUGGGCUGAUUUCAGAAGCCACCAGUGAACCCUCUGAUAAAGCUCCCAGCCAUGGGGCUCACAAGCCUUGAAGGAGAGGAAUGGGCUAAACGGAGGAGGGUGAUCUCCCCUGCUUUCCACCUUGAGAAAUUGAAGGUUUGCAGAUCUACAUCCACAGGCUCAUUUUUACUCCAUACGAAUAAAGGAUAAUUUUUGACGUUAUUAAUCACCAAACAAGGCCUGACCAAUUAGUCUUAUGAUCGAACAUAAUCACUGCACCAAGUUUUUUAUUUAACGUUCAGUCUUCUUACUUGCUGAGCCAAUUUUUGCAGAGAGUGUAUGUUGGAUCUUUAGACAAAUUAAGAUGGAUUCCUACUUAAACGAUAAAACUAAGAAAAACACUUCAUCAUUCCCACAAUAAACCACGAUGGUGGAUCCAUCUUAUUGACUUUGUCGGCAUUAUACAGAUGCAGCAGACUUUAAUACUUCACAUUUGCUUCAAAAAAUAACUAUAAAAUUUCAAAUAACUACAAAGAACUCCGGGGAUUAUGUGCAGGUGUGCGGGACCGUAAGGGCGUAUAUUUAGUUCCACAUCGGUUAUUCGCUGAAAAAAAUUUGGAUAUUUAUACAGGACUAUGGAAUUCAAAAAAAAAAAUCUUCUGAGUAAUCUUUUUUUUUAGAUGAGGUUCAGAGUUAGAAAAAAUAUACGAGCCCCCUAAGUUGCAUCAAUUUUAUUUCUUCUCAAACAGAAAGUCACAUCACUUUCAUAACUAGAACAAGCUAACAUUCAUUAAGCAAAAUGAGAACAAAUCUCCAACCAGCAGAUCCAGGUAAGAGCACGAGAAUUAUUGCAAAUAACUCGAUACAGUAGAGCAUACUGAUUGUGUUAAGGCUCCGACCAAGAUAUGAAGUGCGCAGUCCUCAUUUUAGUUUCACAAUUUUCAUUCACAGGGAAUGAUGCCUGCCUUUUAUACUAGUUGCAUUGAUUUGAUAAAAAGAUGGCAGAACUUAACUAGCACUGAAGGAUCUUGUGAGAUAAAUGUUUGGCCAGAAUUUGAGGGUCUAACAGGUGAUGCCAUCUCCCGAGCAGCAUUUGGAAGCGGCUUUGCAGAAGGCAAGAAAAUAUUUGAACUGCAAAAGGAGGAAUCCGUCCUAGUGAUCGAAGCCGCAUGGGCUCCUUACAUACCAGGCUUCAGGUGAAUUCAUGGCUGUCAUUUCUGUCCACAUCUUCUCUUUGAAUUAUAUUUUUGGGAGAAACAAGUAAUUCAGAUUUAUUCCACUGAAGUUAUGUAUUUUUAUAUCUUGCUUCAAUAGACAACCCUAGGACAAAUGCAAGGAGAGAGGAAGAUUGAUAGGCUAAAUCUUUACUAUUAAAUUUUUGGUACAAGUUCUUACCUACUGCAAAAAAUAAGAGGAGAAUGUACAUAGACAGAGAGAUCAAAACCAUGAUAAAAGAGAUCAACAGGAAGUUGAAUUCCAUGAAAGUGGACAAAUCUAGUGGCGAUGACUUGCUUGGCUUGUUGCUCCAAUUCAGUCACAAUAACAAUCAGGACUAUGGAAUCACAAUAGAUGACGUGAUAGAGGAAUGCAAGCUAUUCUACUUCGCCGGCCAGGACACAACCUCUGCAUGGCUAACAUGGACAGUGCUUCUCCUAGCCAUGCAUCCCAGCUGGCAACAGAGAGCAAGGGAAGAAGUUCUGAACAUCUGUGGGAAGAAUACGCCAGAUUUUGAAUCCCUGAGCCGCCUUAAGAUUGUGAGUACCAUAACUUUCACCUUUCUCUGUUAAUAGGAUAUCAUCACACUUCUUUCUGACUAUUUUGCACUUGGGAAACUUGGAUUGCAGGUAACCAUGAUACUGCAUGAGGUUUUGAGGUUAUAUCCACCUGUGGUCUCUCUGUAUCGACACACCAUCAAGAAAACAAAAUUAGGAAAUUUCUCCUUCCCUGCUGGUGUUGAUCUCUUGCUACCCACAAUCCUCAUCCACCAUGAUCAAGAGUUUUGGGGUGAAGAUGCUGAAGAGUUCAAGCCAGAGAGAUUUUCAGAAGGGGUUUUAAAGGCAUCAAAAGUUCAGAAUGCAUUCCUUCCCUUCGGUUGGGGACCAAGGACAUGUUUGGGCCAGAAUUUUGCAAGAAUAGAGGCAAAGAUAGCUCUGGCUACUAUCCUCCAACAUUUUUCUUUCGAGCUCUCACCCUCCUAUUCUCAUGCUCCUUAUACUGUCAUAACUCUUCAGCCACAAUAUGGAGCUCAUAUCAUACCUCAUCAACUCUGAGACUAUAGUGAAGGAUGUUAAUGUUUUGGAGCAUGUCCUACCGUACAAGUUUUCUCACAUAAAAAGGUGUUUUCUUAUAGUUAGUUUUGGCAUUUGUAGUAGUGUCCAGUAAAUAAUGAUGCUUAAUCAUUAUUAUGAAGGUGAAAGAGAGGUUGGAUAAGCUAGCUGCCUUUAUUAUUAUAACAGUGUUAGUAAUCAUUAUUUAUAUGGAAUGAAUGAUGAGAGCUUGUAUGAAUACCCUUGUUCUGAUCUGCAAUAAAGUGACUUCAUACAGAAGGUGAUGAUGUAAUGUGUGAAUGAUAUCCCUCUACUGCAGAUUGAUAAGUUUCAUGCGUAUGAUAGAUACUCAAAGGCACAUAAGAAUUCUUAAGUUACCGUUCGGAAGUAAGCUAGAUAUUUCGGAGCAUUUGAUUGCUUGGUAAGACUAAAGCUGAUAGGAACAUUACCGUAGUAUGCUGUACUGGCCCGAAUUGGGCGGUACGGGAUGUACCGUACCAUAAAGUUUGGUACCGGUACUCAGUAUAUGUGGCGUACCGACAUUUGAUAUGCUAAAAAAAUUCUAUAUUGUGCCGUACCGACACUGUGCCAGUAUAGCACUGAUACAGAGUCCGAUACCGAGACGGUGAACCUUAAAUAUUACAAAUCUUGUUAUAGCAUGAUGACUGAAACAAAAGUACCUAAAGAGUUGCUGGAUAGAGGUGUUUCGUUCUGGAAAUGUUCAUCAUACAUACAGCUAUGGCAAUGGUGUUCUCAUGACAAUAAAAGUAACAGGAUCAUGCAAAUAAGCCAGUAUACAUUACAAUCAGGACUCCGUCAUCUUAGACUUUGUGGAGUAUGAUCUGAGCUCCAUGUUGUGGUUGAACAGUAAGAAGAUAGUAUGGAGAGUGAAUAUAGGUGGGUGAGAGCUCAAACGAGAAGUGCUGCAAGAUCAUUGACAGAGCAAGCUUUGCUUCUAUAAGGGCAAAGUUCUGGCCCACACAGGCUUUUGGCCCCCAGCCAAAUGGGAAGAAUGCCGCUUGCUUCUUUGAAGCAUUUGAGACGCCCCUGGAAAACCUCUGUGGUUUGAACUCUUCAGCAUCUGUGCCCCAGAUCUCAGGAUCAUGGUUUUCAAGAAGUGUAGGCAGCAAAAGGUUCAAACCUGCAGGGAGAGAGACCCCUCCGAUCUUUGAUCUUCUAUAUGUGUACCGGUAUUGAAUGGGCACCGAUGGAUAUAAUCUUAAAAUUUCAUGUAGUAUUAUGUUUAUCUGUGGAAACAAUUUGCAGUUGUAGCUAAGAAGCAUAUCCAGUACAGUUAUAUACAUCUCGAUAUCAUUAUUGGUUCUCAGUCCCUUUGAAAACAUUACUCUAGACUAGAAACUAUGAUUGAUUCUUCAAGGUGUCUUGUAAUAAAUUUAUCAGAAGCCAAACUCAUGAGGAUAAUUUGACAAGAUGGAUAAACCUGAUUACCAUGCAUAACUUAAAUUCUGCAGCAAUUCUAGACAACAUGAGGACUAAACCAUGAUGGAAAAAGAGAAAGGUAAAACUUCAAUAUAGACAAUCUUUAGAGGUUUCAGUGUCAGGUCAAAUAUACUCCAUGAGUUAAAGCAGAUCCAUGGGAAAAAGAAGUGGGUGAAAUUUAUUUAUUUGUUCUCUGCCACAAGCAAUCAGCAGAAAAUAUGGUGAACAGUUUUGCAGGAUUGUGAUAAUUAUUUCGGAGUACCCCAAGUUAUGUUGAUCACUCAGCCUCUAGCCUUGAAAGUGAAUGGGUUAUGAGAACACCAAAGCUAAACAUUUAAAAGCAUUUCAAGAAUGCACAGAUGGAAUAAGAUCCUGAGUUUUUUUGUCCGUCAAAUUGCAAGGUGAGGGAAGCCUCCUUAUGAAGUGAGAUCAUGUCAUGUUUGAAUAAUCUGAUUCAUCAAGAUCGGGAAGAUAAGAAGAUCUUGUAUACAGAAAGUUAAGCAACUAAAUAGCUCAGUACCUCGCCAAUCAUAGCCUUGAAGGCUUAUAGCCUCAUCUUAUCGUUUGCUGUCAGACCUGACUUGAUGUCGGAUCCAAAGCAAAGGCAACUACAAUCUGUUCAAGGAAAUGGUCAUAGUUGUAUGUUUAUUUUUUCUUUGCAAACCCCCCUCAAAAGAAAAAGGGAAAAAGAAAAAGAAAACAUUCUUUGCAGACAAGAUUCAAAUUACAUAGUUAUUAACUGAUAUGCCUCAAGUCAAUCCCCAUUCAGUUUAAUCCAUAGAUGAACAAAAAGAAAC